UCCCUGGUGGCUCAGAUGGUAAAGAAUCUGCCUACAAUGCAGGAGACCCAGGUUCAAUCCCUGGGUCGGGAA
Molecule: transfer RNA, 72 nt
Filed under: Bos taurus (domestic cattle)
Lineage: Eukaryota; Metazoa; Chordata; Mammalia; Artiodactyla; Bovidae
Also listed under: 3 other names
Rfam family: tRNA
About the family: Transfer RNA (tRNA) molecules are approximately 80 nucleotides in length. Their secondary structure includes four short double-helical elements and three loops (D, anti-codon, and T loops).
Source: Rfam by way of RNAcentral